RNAcentral lists this ribosomal RNA (217 nucleotides) under Myoglanis koepcke. RNAcentral describes it as "partial small subunit ribosomal RNA". Lineage: Eukaryota; Metazoa; Chordata; Actinopteri; Siluriformes; Heptapteridae. The record is from RNAcentral.
GGUAAAUCUCGUGCCAGCCWCCGCGGUUAUACGAAAGACCCUAAUUAAUAGCCACGGCGUAAAGGGUGGUUAAGGAAAAAUCACUAAAUAAAGCUAAAGGGCCCCCAAGCUGUCGCACGCACCCUGGAAGCUCGAGACCCCUACACGAAAGUAGCUUUAAAAUUACCCCGCCUGACCCCACGAAAGCUAAGAAACAAACUAGGAUUAGAUACCCCAC